AGCAGCACUGAUCCACCACUGGCACAGCCGACGACGCAUGCGCGACUUCGUCCUAUCCCCUUGGCUUUGACUUUACCCCGCCCCACCUGCUCCUCGGACGAGCUCCCCUCUUCCCUCCCCCUCCCCCGCGCGACGUUCUCUUUCACUUUUUCCGUCUGCACCCCCCUUUGUGGACUCGUGGCUCUCUUUCUGUUUCGUUUUCUCCGUUGUAUUGAGCCACCGCCACCAUGUCGAUUGAGCUGCUCGUGGAGGCGAUCCAUGCCUCGCCCAUCCGGCUGUCUCUGUGUAUCUGUGGUGCAGGCGCCGGCGUGAUUCGCCGCCUCACGCGCGUGCCCGAGUGCAGUCGCACCCUGCUCGAAGCCAACGUUCUCUACCAUCGCGGUUCGACGCAGAGAGCAUUAGAUGGCCUGCCGCGCCAUAUCGUCAGCGCUGAUGCGGCUCGGCAGCUGGCGCAGCACGCCUUUCACACGUCUCGCGCGAUCGCCUUUUCCGAGGCGCGCGAGCAGCAGCAGCAGCACCCACAGCCCGCGUCGACGCUACCCGGGCAGACGGCGGCUCUUCUCUUCGGCAUUGGUGCAACGUCUGCUGUCAAGACGAGCCGCUCACGGCGCAGCAGGGACGAGGUGCAUGUGUGUGUCUGGGGCGGCUCGGUCAGCCUACCGGAGGGCUCCUCCCACCAAAGCGGCGGCAGCCCUGCCAUGCUUGGCGCGGUCCGCUACUACCACAUGGACAUGCCGGACUGGCUGAGCAGGGCGGAGCAGGACGAGCAAGUGGAGCUGGCGGUGCUCCACGCCAUUGCGCGCACAGUGGAGUUGUGCAUCCCCGGCGAAGCGGAGGUGGUGAGCAGGGACACCAACGCACCUGGUCAGCGCACCUACCCACGGUCUGUGUUUCAAGCUCUGCUGCCCAGCGCUGCAGAAAACGCCUCAGCUCGCGGUGAGGGCGUGCGCGUAUCGAGCUCGCCGCCUAGCCUCUCCGUCGUCACGGACUCCGCGCGACUGUGGUCGGUGCCGUCCGAGUCAGCUCCGGAACCGGUGUGCCUGGAUCCAUCCAGCGAGGUGCGAUCGGCACUGCAGAACGUCCUGGGCGCCGGCGUUUCUGCCGCUGCGCCCGACGGCAGCGUGCGAGACGUAUGCGCUUUGUGGAACCGACACGGCGAGUUGCGCUGCAGCGGCAUUUCUCCGUACUCGGCGGCGCCUCGAAACGCCGCGGAGGCGGUGAUGGAGCACCAGCAAGAGGGCGGGUACGACCGAAGCGCUGCACCAGCUGCGUCAAGCAAGGUGAUCCGCCUUCUCUACCCUGGGUCUUUCAACCCGCUUCACUACGGACACACGGAGCUGGUGCAGGCGGCCACGCGUGUGGUGCGCCAGCGACGGCAGCAGGACGUGGAGCAGACCGCUCUACCGACGCCGGUGGUGGUGACGUAUGAGAUUGCCGUGAAGGUGGUGGACAAGGGCGCUAUCGAGGUGGAUGACCUGGUGCGCCGUGUGCACCAGUUCUUGCGCCGCGGCGAGCGGGUUGCCGUGACCGCGGCGACUCUCUUUGUGGACAAGGCGAGGCUCUUCCCAGGCCACGGCUUCCUUAUCGGCAUCGACACCGCCGUGCGCGUGCUGGACCCGAAGCACUACAGCACGAACGAGGACCCAGCGGAUGCCGAAGCCGCAAUGGUGGCGGCGCUGACCCGUGACAUUGCCGGCAGGGGGUGCUAUUUUGUGGUAGGCGGGCGCAAGAUGAGCGAUCCUGCAGGCUGGCGAGAGCUGUCGUCGCUGCGCAUCCCGGAGAGCGUUCAACACUUGUUCAUCGGCAUCCCCGCCACGGAGUUUCGCGUAGAUGUCAGCUCAACGGAGCUGCGCGCCCAGCGCAACGGUUGUGGUGCAUGAAGACGCACACUUGGGAGCCGAUCUCGGCGGCGGCGUCGCACAUUUCCUCGUUGCACUUGAUCGGACCCGCACCCCUGUGUAUAUGCACGGGAGCACAUCUAUGGCAGCCGCAUACGGCCCACUCACUUCUCCUUGCCCCUUCUCCGACAUCCUCAGGUCCGUAUGAGGGCCGCGGCCGCGCCAUCAACGCUUCCGUUGGCUGUUAUCUUUCAACGCUUUUGCUUUGGGGUGGGCAAGUGGGUGGGGGCUCUCUUUCGCAUGCCUUCUCUCUUCAUCCGUGUGUAUGCGUGCAUGCGAGUGGACUUGGCGUUGCACGUCCUCCAUGCUCUCACAUCUUGCCACCCGUCCUGCUCUUCCUCUUGCUAUUCUCUUUGUCUAUCCCUUGCUUGCAG
Molecule: unclassified non-coding RNA, 2272 nt
Filed under: Leishmania donovani
Lineage: Eukaryota; Euglenozoa; Kinetoplastea; Trypanosomatida; Trypanosomatidae
Description: gene:LdHU3.20.0680(CDS-product:hypothetical_prote in_conserved)
Source: RNAcentral